AUACGGAGGAUGCGAGCGUUAUCCGGAUUUAUUGGGUUUAAAGGGAGCGUAGGUGGGAUAUUAAGUCAGCUGUGAAAGUUUGGGGCUCAACCUUAAAAUUGCAGUUGAUACUGGUUUCCUUGAGUACGGUAUAGGUGGGCGGAAUUCGUGGUGUAGCGGUGAAAUGCUUAGAUAUCACGAAGAACUCCGAUCGCGAAGGCAGCUCACCGGGCCGGAACUGACACUGAUGCUCGAAAGUGCGGGUAUCAAACAGGAUUAGAUACCCUGGUAGUCCGCACAGUAAACGAUGAAUACUCGCUGUUUGCGAUACACUGUAAGCGGCCAAGCGAAGGCGUUAAGUAUUCCACCUGGGGAGUACGCCGGCAACGGUGAAACUCAAAUGAAUUGGCGGGG
Molecule: ribosomal RNA, 393 nt
Filed under: uncultured bacterium
Lineage: Bacteria
Description: partial 16S ribosomal RNA
Rfam family: Bacterial small subunit ribosomal RNA
Source: RNAcentral